UGUGUGAAUGACUUCAAUGAGGCUAUUCACGCGAGCGAGCAAAACUGGGCUAAGGAGGCCCAGCCUGGUUUUGCUCACCCGUGAGAACCACCUCCACGGCGGCAAGCCCACCUAAACAGCCACCCUCUUAAAUGAGGUUAACAGAGUGAGCACUCCGUGAACCUCAUUUUCUGGAUCGUGUGUCUGCCGCAGCAGCAAGGGGAGGGGGAUCCCGGAAAUGUGGGGGCAGGGCACUACACGGCGGCACUUCUCCUCACCCGACCCCGGAGCUGCUGGGCGAGGCAUGGGCAGACGGCAGGAGAGCCACCGCUCAUCUGGGCAGGCAAUCCACCUGCCCAGGGACCACGGGAGGAUCGUCUGUGGGGAGGUCCAGCAUCCUUGAGAAGCCCACCCACCUCCGCCUUGCAAAGCACAUCAAGCAUAGACAGUCAGGUUCAUAAGUUCAACAUGAACCUAGAUUUGGAAUGGAAGAGGAUCCAAAUUGCCACCCAUAGAAGGCUUAUGAAAAUCACCUGUGUUCAAUAUCUGGAUGAAGUGUAGCAAAUCAGCAGGAUUAUACUGCUAAGAGGAUUGAUUUAGGCUUGCUCUUCUAUCAUGCCCAAUGCCAUUGUUCAAAGCAAGCUUGAGGAUAUACUAUUUCUCCAGAUUCCAGAACCAUUCACCACUGACUCUUCCAAUCUGGCAACUGAGUCCUAAAUGCAUGUAGCUGAAAAUUCUUUUUCUUUUCUUUUUUUAAAUGCCACUACCUACUCUAUGUUCAGCCAAACAUCUGUGCAUGAGGGCCAAGGAGAUGAACAGCCCUGGUUGCUUUUCAAGGCUCAAGUGACAAGUCACUUUUUUCUCCACUUUUCCCCAAGAAAUAUGGCAAACCCAAACUUUUCUAUUAUACCAUAUCCCCUUACAAUGUUUCAGACAAAUCAGUAUAUAUUUUAUAGGAAAAAAUUAAUGUGUGAACUCUGCAGUACCUUAUCUCAGUGCUUCUCUGUCUAGUAGUUUCCCAUGCAUA
This is a long non-coding RNA of Hemicordylus capensis (graceful crag lizard), 1006 nucleotides long. RefSeq lists it as uncharacterized. The record is from RefSeq and is a predicted model, not a curated record. The transcript has 4 exons. Lineage: Eukaryota; Metazoa; Chordata; Lepidosauria; Squamata; Cordylidae.